This is a non-coding RNA of Prunus avium (sweet cherry), 174 nucleotides long. Lineage: Eukaryota; Viridiplantae; Streptophyta; Magnoliopsida; Rosales; Rosaceae. The record is from RefSeq and is a predicted model, not a curated record.
AUCCUCCUCACCAAAUUACAAGUUAAUUAAGUUUAUCAGCAAGAGCAACAUCUAGCCAAUUAAGACAUUUCCAUGAUGAUGAUGAAGAGCCAAGCAGCUCUCCUCGGCCUCACCACCUUGGCCAUCCUCUUCUUCUCAGGUGCACAUGCAGCUAAAAUCACUUUCACAAACAAA